Molecule: ribosomal RNA, 976 nt
Filed under: uncultured bacterium
Lineage: Bacteria
Also listed under: 1 other name
Description: bacterial SSU rRNA
Rfam family: Bacterial small subunit ribosomal RNA
Source: RNAcentral
GCGGGAAUUCGAUUCAGGCCUAACACAUGCAAGUCGAACGGACCCUUCGGGGUUAGUGGCGGACGGGUGAGUAACGCGUGAGGAUCUGCCUACAGGUGGGGGACAACAGUUGGAAACGGCUGCUAAUACCCCAUGUGCCGGAAGGUGAAAGGUUAACUGCCUGUAGAUGAACUCGCGUCUGAUUAGCUAGUUGGUGGGGUAAUGGCCUACCAAGGCGACGAUCAGUAGCUGGUCUGAGAGGAUGAUCAGCCACACUGGGACUGAGACACGGCCCAGACUCCUACGGGAGGCAGCAGUGGGGAAUUUUCCGCAAUGGGCGAAAGCCUGACGGAGCAACGCCGCGUGCGGGAGGAAGGCCUUAGGGUUGUAAACCGCUUUUAUCAGGGAAGAACACAAUGACGGUACCUGAUGAAUAAGCCUCGGCUAAUUCCGUGCCAGCAGCCGCGGUAAUACGGGAGAGGCGAGCGUUAUCCGGAAUUAUUGGGCGUAAAGCGUCCGCAGGUGGCCAAUUAAGUCUGUCGUUAAAUCGUGGAGCUCAACUCCAUACAAGCGAUGGAAACUGAUUGGCUAGAGUACGGUAGGGGUAGCGGGAAUUCCAGGUGUAGCGGUGAAAUGCGUAGAUAUCUGGAAGAACACCAGCGACGAAAGUGCGCUACUGGGCCUGUACUGACACUCAUGGACGAAAGCCAGGGGAGCGAAAGGGAUUAGAUACCCCUGUAGUCCUGGCCGUAAACGAUGAACACUAGGUGUUGCGCGAAUCGACCCGUGCAGUGCCGUAGCCAACGCGUUAAGUGUUCCGCCUGGGGAGUACGCACGCAAGUGUGAAACUCAAAGGACUUGACGGGGGCCCGCACAAGCGGUGGAGUAUGUGGUUUAAUUCGAUGCAACGCGAAGAACCUUACCAAGGCUUGACAUCCCCCGAAUCUCUGGGAAACCGGAGAGUGCCUUCGGGAGCGGGGAGACAGGUGGUGCAUGG